Molecule: ribosomal RNA, 484 nt
Filed under: uncultured bacterium
Lineage: Bacteria
Description: partial 16S ribosomal RNA
Rfam family: Bacterial small subunit ribosomal RNA
Source: RNAcentral
AUUGAACGCUGGCGGCAGGCCUAACACAUGCGAGUCGAGCGGAUGAAGGGAGCUUGCUCCUGGAUUCAGCGGCGGACGGGUGAGUAAUGCCUAGGAAUCUGCCUGGUAGUGGGGGAUAACGUCCGGAAACGGGCGCUAAUACCGCAUACGUCCUGAGGGAGAAAGUGGGGGAUCUUCGGACCUCACGCUAUCAGAUGAGCCUAGGUCGGAUUAGCUAGUUGGUGGGGUAAAGGCCUACCAAGGCGACGACCCGUAACUGGUCUGAGAGGAUGAUCAGUCACACUGGAACUGAGACACGGUCCAGACUCCUACGGGAGGCAGCAGUGGGGAAUAUUGGACAAUGGGCGAAAGCCUGAUCCAGCCAUGCCGCGUGUGUGAAGAAGGUCUUCGGAUUGUAAAGCACUCUAAGUUGGGAGGAAGGGCAGUAAGUUAAUACCUUGCUGUUUUGACGUUACCAACAGAAUAAGCACCGGCUAACUUCGUG